Long non-coding RNA from Phragmites australis (common reed), 508 nucleotides. RefSeq lists it as uncharacterized. NCBI's taxonomy places the organism in Eukaryota, Viridiplantae, Streptophyta, Magnoliopsida, Poales, Poaceae. The record is from RefSeq and is a predicted model, not a curated record. The transcript is spliced from 3 exons.
AUGUGCCUCGGCGAUCUUUGCUUCAUGUCUCCGCAUCUCGAAUCGAUCUAUUGCUAUUUUUAGCAACCGAAAUAACACAGCAAAUAUACAAUUCUUCGUGCUGUGUAUAAGAGAACUUGGAAAAAAAAAAGAUUGGGAGAGCUGAGCUGGUUGGUAGAAGAAUGGAGGACGUCAACAACAAGAGCCUGCAGCCUCCACCAGGCUACCCGACGGUGGAUUCGGAGCAGCAAGGCAAGGCGCUGCCGCCGUACCGCGGAACAGCAAGAGUGCGGGGACGAAAGACUAGUUUCAUCGAUGGAUGUAUUGCCACCUUGUGCUGCUGCUGGCUCUGUGACCUCUGCUGUGAUUAGAGCAGGGCAAAGCUCAAGCAUGAAUACAGUUCGCGAGCGCCUUCGUCUAUAUAUGUACUAGUAAAUGGAUACGUAUAUGUUGAGCAGUUAAAAGCAGAGAUCAUCUAGCAACAAAGCAAGUGUAAAAUUUUCAUAUUUUACAUUCACUACUACAUAAA